This 336-nucleotide unclassified non-coding RNA is filed under the name soil metagenome. RNAcentral's name for it is "partial contains 5.8S ribosomal RNA, internal transcribed spacer 2, and large subunit ribosomal RNA". The stretch from base 1 to 120 matches the Rfam family "5.8S ribosomal RNA", at positions 35 to 154 of the family's 154-position model. The record is from RNAcentral.
GAUGAAGAACGCAGCGAAAUGCGAUAAGUAAUGUGAAUUGCAGAAUUCAGUGAAUCAUCGAAUCUUUGAACGCACAUUGCGCCCGCCAGUAUUCUGGCGGGCAUGCCUGUUCGAGCGUCAUUUCAACCAUCAAGCCCCCGGGCUUGUGUUGGGGACCUGCGGCUGCCCGCAGGCCCUGAAAACCAGUGGCGGGCUCGCUGUCACACCGAGCGUAGUAGCAUCAUCUCGCUCAGGGCGUGCUGCGGGUUCCGGCCGUUAAAAAGCCUCUAAUACCCAAGGUUGACCUCGGAUCAGGUAGGAAGACCCGCUGAACUUAAGCAUACAAUAAGCGGAGGA